UGGGGAAUAUUGGACAAUGGGGGGAACCCUGAUCCAGCCAUGCCGCGUGUGUGAAGAAGGCCUUAUGGUUGUAAAGCACUUUAAGCGAGGAGGAGGGUACUGGUAUUAAUACUACCAGCUACUGGACGUUACUCGCAGAAUAAGCACCGGCUAACUCUGUGCCAGCAGCCGCGGUAAUACAGAGGGUGCAAGCGUUAAUCGGAAUUACUGGGCGUAAAGCGCGCGUAGGUGGUUCGUUAAGUUGAAUGUGAAAGCCCCGGGCUCUACCUGGGAACUGCAUCCAAAACUGGCGAGCUAGAGUAGGGCAGAGGGUGGUGGAAUUUCCUGUGUAGCAGUGAAAUGCGUAGAUAUAGGAAGGAACACCAGUGGCGAAGGCGACCACCUGGGCUCAUACUGACACUGAGGUGCGAAAGCGUGGGGAGCAAACAGG
RNAcentral lists this ribosomal RNA (430 nucleotides) under Pseudomonadota bacterium. RNAcentral's name for it is "Proteobacteria bacterium partial 16S ribosomal RNA". It matches the Rfam family "Bacterial small subunit ribosomal RNA", at positions 355 to 776 of the family's 1533-position model. The record is from RNAcentral. Lineage: Bacteria; Pseudomonadati; Pseudomonadota.